This 586-nucleotide ribosomal RNA is filed under the name Streptomyces sp. GLT-Irr-12. Its description in RNAcentral is "bacterial SSU rRNA". It matches the Rfam family "Bacterial small subunit ribosomal RNA", at positions 121 to 722 of the family's 1533-position model. The record is from RNAcentral. Lineage: Bacteria; Bacillati; Actinomycetota; Actinomycetes; Kitasatosporales; Streptomycetaceae.
GGAUCUGCCCUUCACUAUGGGACAAGCCCUGGAAACGGGUUCUAAUACCGGAUAACACUCCCUCCCUCCUGGGUGGGGGUUAAAAGCUCCGGCGGUGAAGGAUGAGCCCGCGGCCUAUCAGCUUGUUGGUGAGGUAAUGGCUCACCAAGGCGACGACGGGUAGCCGGCCUGAGAGGGCGACCGGCCACACUGGGACUGAGACACGGCCCAGACUCCUACGGGAGGCAGCAGUGGGGAAUAUUGCACAAUGGGCGAAAGCCUGAUGCAGCGACGCCGCGUGAGGGAUGACGGCCUUCGGGUUGUAAACCUCUUUCAGCAGGGAAGAAGCGAAAGUGACGGUACCUGCAGAAGAAGCGCCGGCUAACUACGUGCCAGCAGCCGCGGUAAUACGUAGGGCGCAAGCGUUGUCCGGAAUUAUUGGGCGUAAAGAGCUCGUAGGCGGCUUGUCACGUCGGGUGUGAAAGCCCGGGGCUUAACCCCGGGUCUGCAUUCGAUACGGGCUAGCUAGAGUGUGGUAGGGGAGAUCGGAAUUCCUGGUGUAGCGGUGAAAUGCGCAGAUAUCAGGAGGAACACCGGUGGCGAAGGC